GUGGGGAAUUUUGGACAAUGGGCGAAAGCCUGAUCCAGCCAUGCCGCGUGUGUGAAGAAGGUCUUCGGAUUGUAAAGCACUUUAAGUUGGGAGGAAGGGCAGUAAGUUAAUACCUUGCUGUUUUGACGUUACCGACAGAAUAAGCACCGGCUAACUUCGUGCCAGCAGCCGCGGUAAUACGAAGGGUGCAAGCGUUAAUCGGAAUUACUGGGCGUAAAGCGCGCGUAGGUGGUUUUGUAAGUUGGAGGUGAAAUUCCCGGGCUCAACCUGGGAACUGCCUCCAAAACUGCAUGACUAGAGUACGGUAGAGGGUAGUGGAAUUUCCUGUGUAGCGGUGAAAUGCGUAGAUAUAGGAAGGAACACCAGUGGCGAAGGCGACUACCUGGACUGAUACUGACACUGAGGUGCGAAAGCGUGGGGAGCAAACAGGAUUAGAAACCCGUGUAGUCC
Molecule: ribosomal RNA, 450 nt
Filed under: uncultured bacterium
Lineage: Bacteria
Description: partial 16S ribosomal RNA
Rfam family: Bacterial small subunit ribosomal RNA
Source: RNAcentral